CCCACAACCCGCGCGCGGCCCCGAUCCAAUCUAACCCGCCGUCGCCGCCCUGCGCAACACCUGCCGCCGCCGCCCUCCGCCCUCUCCCCUCACCGCCGCCGUGACCCCGCGCCCCUCCGAUCGAUAGCGACGACGCCCGCCAUUGACGCGUCCCCGAGCCAUCGACGCCCGCCGCGGGAGUCUUCUUCCUCGACGUCGGCUACGUCAUCUUCUUCCCCUACGGCGUGUUCGAGCUUGUCUCCAAGCCACCCUAGGUGAGCUUCGACUCCUCCUUUAGCCAUCUGUGAGCUGAUUUGAUCUGUCAACAACAACAAAAAAAGUGGUCGCAAUGCACCAACCAGGAAGUGAGAAAAAUGCACUCCAACAAAGACAUGCAUGUUCAUAGGCUUACUUGCGCACUUUUAAAUUUAAAUCCCAACUCCCAAGUGCCUCAUUCUAUAUGCCCAUGAGGCUGCUAUUUUCCUUGCCAGCCCGACACCUGAGUGUCACCAUCGACUAGCUAGCUACUUUUCCAGUACUAUAUACAUAAACCAGCACUCCGUAACUAUGGUUUAUUGAUGCCUAGGGCGAUCCUGACAACAUGCCAAAUAGUUUUAGCAAGAAUACAGUCAAAGAAGAGAUGUUGUACACUCUCGUUAUGAUUUUUUUUUGGGAUAAGAAUUGUCUACCUUAUAUAUUCCAAACAGACUAGAAGUCUCAACCUGAACAAGUCAGGUCAAAACAGCAAGGAAGAAAAGCAAAAACGACUGAAAAGAAGAAAAAGAACAACAGAUGUAUAUGAGCGAGAUGAUUACAAAAACUGCAUUUGAGGCUUCCUGUCCAAUUCUGUACAGAUGUAUAUGAGCAAGAUAUAUAUCAGAUGAACCGUAGUAAAAUCUUUCGGGAAAUCUAGCUACGAAACAGAUGUAUAUGAGCUGAGGGGUGAAUUCUGUAAAGAUUCAGAUAUUGCUGAGCAAUUAGCAGUACAACAUAUGCACGAGGGUUUAUACGUAGCCAUACAGAAGGCCUUAAUAUGCCAGACACAAACAAUGUCACAGCUUACAGUAUUAUUAGGACUAUUAGUCAUCACUGCUGUCUGACUAACACACAUUGUAAGGAAUUACAUGGCCCCAUUAGGCAAUAAUUUGUCCCAAGGGAUGAAAUCCAAAUCAAACAAGCGAAGAAAGGAUCAAAUCAGCUCACUUAAAAUUGUCCCCUUUCUGCCUGAUGCAAGGUUACUUUCGUUAUAAUAUGUUGUGCUUGUUUCAAACUGUUUUGCUACAAGUACCAUAUGUUGUUAAAUUUGAACUGCCUUAAAUAUUUACCUUCUGCAUGUUGGAUUACUUUUUUAUUAGAGGCAGGAUGUUGAAUUACUUGAAUACCAUUCAUGUACAUAUGUGUGAUAUGCACAUUUAGAUACAUUAAAAUCGAGCACUCUCCCAGCCCUCUCAGGCCAUCAACAUUUCUAAUCGUUGGAUCGUCACUUUUAGUCUUCUUUAACCGUCAGAUUUGCUCUUAAUUGCCCUCAAAUCGCGCGUAAAGGCUUCAUGAGAAGCGCUAGCCUUCUCGGGCCGCUGCUCCCGUGGUUUUUUUUGGGCAUCAUAGGUUCAAUUGGGCCUAUUGGGCCUGUACUCUGAUCCCCGUCCAGCGCAGAAGUGGAGAACCCAAAACACUGGACGCUCGGGACCCUGAUCUCUUUCGCUCCCAGCCCUGGCGGCGCCUCUGAACUGGGAGCCGACCGAUGCGGGGGCUUGGACUGCCAUGGCGACUGCGCCAGGUUUCGACCGACGCGGCAGAUAUCGCCUACUCGGUUCAUUCAGUUGCAUGGAUGUGACGGACAGCGGCUCCUCGAUCCGUUCGGUUCCAUAGCGCGGCUGGAUGGUGUGUGGCGACGAACUGCCAUGAAGUUCAAUCGCCAAGGACGAUUUAUUCAGAGUUUAAUACCAGUAAUGCCAUUUGAUGCUCCGGGCAGGUCAGUUUUCAUUGGCGGUUCAUAUUUUUCAUUCAAUUCAUGCAACCCAUAUAAUCCCAACCUUGCCGCUGCUCCUUCCUCACUCUGCUCAUUGGCAAACCAUUCUCCAGCACAGCUGCGCUGGAUGAUGCUAAGGUUUCCAGUUGUUCCAAUUCUCCCUCUUUGCUGCAUCUCUUCUUCCCCCAAUUCCUCCUCUAUUUUUAGUGAUACUAUUCUUUAUAUUAAAAGAAACGCAGGGCAGCCUGCUUCGGUUGGGUUAGAAGGUUCUCUACAAGGACGAAUUCGAGCUAAGUACUGAUUGGUUUCUUUUGUUCUUCCAGUUGAAUCUGCCGGUAUCCAGUGUGCUCUUAUGCCUCCUUUAAUUACGCCUCAUCUCAAUAUUUGUGUGUUCUACUAUGUACCUUUUAUUCGUAUGAUAUGAUUUCAGUCUCUGUGAUUGUUUGAAAUAAUCAAACUACACAUUGCAGGUCAGUUACCAUGUCGAUCCUUGCUCUUCAUUUACUCCACAUGCGUUGUCGAUGUUCGAUCCGUGUUCUUCAAUUAGUUCUUCUCUGUUCUUCCCCCAAUUCUUUCUCCAUCAAGUAUAUAUUUUUUAUUAAUUGAUGAUGCUUUCCACUCCCAACUGAAGACAUGUGCUCUUAGUUGAUGAGUUUGACCUUUUUGCUGGGUUGGGUUCUCUGAGCCAUGCUUACUGAAUUUGAAAUAAUUUUUAAGUAGGUACUUGUGCAAGUGCGUUUUAGAAGCCUCUGUCAAGAGGCGUAUGAUGUAGCAACGUCAAAGCAAGUCGAGGACCUGAUGGUCUAGAUCAAUACCCAUCCUGACCAUGAACCAAUAUUCUCUCAAAUGCUUGGUAAUUAGGUUGAAUGGCAGAGUACUUGAAAAACAAACACUGAUUUGGUUUGAGAUUUUUAUUUGACCAUGUAUUGUUGUCACAAUAAGGGAUUCCCUUCCUUCUAAACUAAUGUGCUGCAUCAAGAUAGUCUUAAAAUACAGUGGAUGUGAGUACACAUAACACUUAGCAUUUUAAGAUGAUUGUGAAGCUCAAGGAAGAUACACAUCUCGGUACUAUAUGUAAGCAAUUUGUGCUCUUCACAUUGGUACAGUUUCACCUCAGGCAACUUCUUGGGAUAAAAAAAGUUGCCUGAAGCCAUGUAACAGCAUACAAAUGUGGCGUUUUUCAACCAAUUUUGCAAAACAGUAUGGAUUUCAUUCUACUAUAGUACCUCAUGGCCUAAGAUAUGGUCUACUGCAAGCACUCUCGUUGGGAUGUACUGCACAACAUUCUUCAACAUGAUGCUCAGACAGAUUUCUCUAUAUUUAAUUUCAGUUGUAUGAUUCCAUCUUGCACCAAACAAUUACAUUGUCGUGAUAUCCUCUCAUUCCAAAAUUUGUACAUACAGGUAAUGUUCAUGCUGGUUGUGGUCGAUUGAGGAUUUUUGAGAUCGGGAGCUUGCCGCUGCCCUCCCCUUCGCGCACAUGACUACCUUUGUUGUGCUGCAUGGAUGCCGGCCGUUUCCAUCCAUCUCAGAACUCCUAAUUACCCAGAAUUCAUCUAAUGGACAUCUAAGUUGAAACUUGGAGAGCAUCUAAUAUCCUCAUGUUCAUUUUUUUCCUUUUUAUUUUUUCCCACUGUCAUUCAAGUACAAGUUCAGUUUCGAUGUCUCAAGAUAGAUCCAAGUUAACUUAUAGUUGUUUCAGAAACCCUUGCAUCAGAGGGCAUAACUCUCCAUGAUGCAUGGAAACAAAAAUAGAGCUCUCAAAUAACUGCACCACGAACAAAUUCCUAACCAUUUCUACGGAUUAAUUGUUCAUUUCUAAAUGUAUUGAACUGGUGUGAUCUU
This is a long non-coding RNA of Triticum dicoccoides, 3792 nucleotides long. RefSeq lists it as uncharacterized. The transcript has 3 exons. The record is from RefSeq and is a predicted model, not a curated record. NCBI's taxonomy places the organism in Eukaryota, Viridiplantae, Streptophyta, Magnoliopsida, Poales, Poaceae.